Molecule: long non-coding RNA, 204 nt
Filed under: Hordeum vulgare
Lineage: Eukaryota; Viridiplantae; Streptophyta; Magnoliopsida; Poales; Poaceae
Description: long non-coding RNA (HVUL_LNC015601)
Source: RNAcentral
CAUUAGUGGUAAUAAUCAUCCAUCAUAGUCCUGAUCAGUUCUUUGUUUAGUUAAUUCCUUUGAAUACCAACACUUUACACUUCCAAGACUGUAGCUCCUAACUGUAGACACGACUAUUCAAAUAGGUUUUAUACUAUACGGAGGUUUUACACUAUUCCCACAAGUAAAGCAUUUCUUUAGUCAACCCAUUACAUUGACUGAUAC